This 428-nucleotide ribosomal RNA is filed under the name uncultured bacterium. Its description in RNAcentral is "partial 16S ribosomal RNA". It matches the Rfam family "Bacterial small subunit ribosomal RNA", at positions 354 to 796 of the family's 1533-position model. The record is from RNAcentral.
GUGGGGAAUAUUGGGCAAUGGGGGAAACCCUGACCCAGCAACGCCGCGUGAAGGAAGACGGUUUUCGGAUUGUAAACUUCUUUUAUCGGGGACGAAAAAAAUGACGGUACCCGAAGAAAAAGCCACGGCUAACUACGUGCCAGCAGCCGCGGUAAUACGUAGGUGGCAAGCGUUGUCCGGAUUUACUGGGUGUAAAGGGCGUGUAGGCGGGACUGCAAGUCAGAUGUGAAAUACCAAGGCUUAACCUUGGGGCUGCAUUUGAAACUGUAGUUCUUGAGUGAUGGAGAGGCAGGCGGAAUUCCUAGUGUAGCGGUGAAAUGCGUAGAUAUUAGGAGGAACACCGAUGGCGAAGGCAAUCCCCUGGGCCUGCACUGACGCUCAUGCACGAAAGCGUGGGGAGCAAACAGGAUUAGAAACCCCUGUAGUCC